ACUCGAGUGGCGAACGGGUGAGUAACACGUGGGUGAUCUGCCUUGCACUCUGGGAUAAGCUUGGGAAACUGGGUCUAAUACCGGAUAGGACCAUGCUUUAGUGUGUGUGGUGGAAAGUUUUUCGGUGCAAGAUGAGCCCGCGGCCUAUCAGCUUGUUGGUGGGGUAAUGGCCUACCAAGGCGACGACGGGUAGCCGGCCUGAGAGGGUGUACGGCCACAUUGGGACUGAGACACGGCCCAG
This 241-nucleotide ribosomal RNA is filed under the name uncultured Actinomycetales bacterium. Its description in RNAcentral is "partial 16S ribosomal RNA". It matches the Rfam family "Bacterial small subunit ribosomal RNA", at positions 89 to 334 of the family's 1533-position model. Lineage: Bacteria; Bacillati; Actinomycetota; Actinomycetes; Actinomycetales. The record is from RNAcentral.